RNAcentral lists this ribosomal RNA (132 nucleotides) under Amphilophus citrinellus (Midas cichlid). Lineage: Eukaryota; Metazoa; Chordata; Actinopteri; Cichliformes; Cichlidae. The record is from RNAcentral.
GGCUUACAGCACCUGGUAUUCCCAGCCGCUUUCCCAUCUAAGUGCUAACCAGGCCCAGCCCUGCUUAGCUUCCGUCUGAUCUCGGAGGCUAAGCAGGGUUGGGCCUGGUGGCACGGUGGUGCAGUUGUUAGC